RNAcentral lists this ribosomal RNA (788 nucleotides) under uncultured Actinomycetes bacterium. Its description in RNAcentral is "bacterial SSU rRNA". It matches the Rfam family "Bacterial small subunit ribosomal RNA", at positions 70 to 837 of the family's 1533-position model. Lineage: Bacteria; Bacillati; Actinomycetota; Actinomycetes. The record is from RNAcentral.
AAAGUUCCCUUCGGGGAACAAGUAGAGUGGCGCACGGGUGAGUAACACGUAGGUAAUCUACCUUCGGAUGGGGAAUAACAACCGGAAACGGUUGCUAAUACCGCAUAAUGCAGCGGCACCUAAUGGUGACAGUUGUUAAAGCGGGGGAUCGCAAGACCUCGCGUCUGAAGAGGAGCCUGCGGCGGAUUAGCUUGUUGGUGAGGUAAAAGCUCACCAAGGCGAUGAUCCGUAGCCGGCCUGAGAGGGCGGUCGGCCACACUGACACUGACAUACGGGUCAGACUCCUACGGGAGGCAGCAGUCGGGAAUUUUGGGCAAUGGGCGAAAGCCUGACCCAGCAACGCCGCGUGAAGGAUGAAAUCCCUCGGGAUGUAAACUUCGCAAGAACGGGAAGAAUAAGCGAAAGUUAAUAUCUUUCGUGAUGACGGUACCGUUUGUAAGCUCCGGCUAACUCCGUGCCAGCAGCCGCGGUAAUACGGGGGGAGCAAGCGUUGUUCGGAUUUACUGGGCGUAAAGGGCGCGUAGGCGGCCACCGCAAGUCGAUCGUGAAAUCUCCGGGCUUAACCCGGAAAGGUCAACCGAUACUGCGGGGCUAGAGUGCGGAAGGGGCAACUGGAAUUCUUGGUGUAGCGGUGAAAUGCGUAGAUAUCAAGAGGAACACCUGCGGCGAAGGCGGGUUGCUGGGCCGACACUGACGCUGAUGCGCGAAAGCUAGGGGAGCGAACGGGAUUAGAUACCCCGGUAGUCCUAGCCUUAAACGAUGAAUGCUUGGUGUCUGGGGUUUAUAGU